UCAGCAGUAUUAAAGUGCUUAUAGUGCAGGUAGUUUUUAGUGACCUACUGCAGUAUGAGCACUUGAAGUACUUCUAG
RNAcentral lists this microRNA precursor (77 nucleotides) under Atractosteus spatula (alligator gar). RNAcentral describes it as "mir-17 microRNA precursor family". It matches the Rfam family "mir-17 microRNA precursor family". Rfam says of the family: This family represents the microRNA (miRNA) precursor mir-17, family, which includes mir-20, mir-91, and mir-103. miRNAs are transcribed as ~70nt precursors (modelled here) and subsequently processed by the Dicer enzyme to give a ~22nt product. In this case the mature sequence comes from the 3' arm of the precursor. The record is from Rfam by way of RNAcentral. RNAcentral also lists the same sequence under 1 other name. Lineage: Eukaryota; Metazoa; Chordata; Actinopteri; Semionotiformes; Lepisosteidae.